Molecule: ribosomal RNA, 253 nt
Filed under: uncultured bacterium
Lineage: Bacteria
Description: partial 16S ribosomal RNA
Rfam family: Bacterial small subunit ribosomal RNA
Source: RNAcentral
CACGUAGGGUGCGAGCGUUGUCCGGAAUUAUUGGGCGUAAAGGGCUCGUAGGCGGUUUGUCGCGUCGGGAGUGAAAACCAGGUGCUUAACACCUGGCUUGCUUUCGAUACGGGCAGACUAGAGGUAUUCAGGGGAGAACGGAAUUCCUGGUGUAGCGGUGAAAUGCGCAGAUAUCAGGAGGAACACCGGUGGCGAAGGCGGUUCUCUGGGAAUGACCUGACGCUGAGGAGCGAAAGUGCGGGGAGCGAACAGG